UGAGGAAUAUUGGUCAAUGGGCGGAAGCCUGAACCAGCCAUCCCGCGUGAAGGAAGGCGGCCCUAUGGGUUGUAAACUUCUUUAGUACAUGAAGAACAGGAUCUACGCGUAGGUUUAUGACGGUAAUGCACAAAAAAGCAUCGGCUAACUCCGUGCCAGCAGCCGCGGUAAUACGGAGGAUGCGAGCGUUAUCCGGAUUCAUUGGGUUUAAAGGGUACGUAGGUGGCCCUGUAAGUCAGUGGUGAAAAUCUGCCGCUUAACGGUAGGGGUGCCAAUGAUACUGCGGGGCUUGAGUACAGUUGAGGUAGGUGGAAUGUGUAGUGUAGCGGUGAAAUGCAUAGAUAUUACAUAGAACUCCGAUUGCGAAGGCAUCUUACUAAGCUGAAACUGACACUGAUGUAUGAAAGCGUGGGGAUCGAACAG
Molecule: ribosomal RNA, 423 nt
Filed under: uncultured bacterium
Lineage: Bacteria
Description: bacterial SSU rRNA
Rfam family: Bacterial small subunit ribosomal RNA
Source: RNAcentral